CCAAGUGUUCAAAUCUCACCCAAAGGCAUCUCAGUGGGGCGGGGGAAGAGAGGCUCAGCUCAUCCACUGAUCCCAGGGGUCAGGAGGUUCUCGGGAUGGUGCAUUCCCUCGGGAUGGUCCUAACGAUGAUAUCUUCCCUAAUGAUGAUAUCUUCCCUAACGGUGAUAUCUUCCCUGACAUCCCCAGUCUCUUAGGCCAAUUUAUAUUAUUUUCUAUCUUUUCGGUGGAGCUUGAGUGGCACUACACUACAGCAUUUGUCAAAACAUGACAGGUCCUUGGCUCAGGGUAGCAAAAAGUGCGGCAUAUCGGUCUCGAUGUGCACAAGAACAAUCGAGUCCCCACCUGGUCACAGAGCCUAGCCGUGGUGUCUCCACUCCACUCUACGCUCCGUACUGUUCUUUAGAGCUAGCACACCAGGUUCCCCUAGUGCGAUAGCAUCUAAGGUUGGGAGCCUAGGGAACGCUCAGGUAAUGCAGCUACGCCCUACCCUGAAAGCCUCUUCAGUGUUGUACAUUUUCUUUAAAAUGUGAAUGUUAGUCUUCUUUUCCUAGUUACUUUGGGCAAUUGCACCACCGCAUGCUCCAUAUAAGGACUCCGAGACACCAGAGCAAAACGCUGCUACUGAAUACAACAAAGCAGAUCAAGAGAGUAAGGACAAUGCAAAGGUGACAGCGGCACCUGUAGAUGCCAGUACACCCCUUUGGAAUGGUGUGUCAGAAAGAAAGCGCAGAAGGAACAAAUCUGCAGGUACUGCAACAAGGAGAAGAAGGAGUUUUCAGUUUGAUAAAGAGAAUGAAGUACUGGAAGAUGACCAAAACAAUAGUGAAGAAGAAGAGUUUCUGGAAAAAAAAUGUUUCUGACAUAUAUCAAGCUGAAGGUGAGUCCACACAAAAUUAUUUUCUGGAAGAAAGUGCAAGUGUUCUUCAAGAACAACAGAGAAAGAGCAACGAAAUAGCAUUUUCUGGGAUAGACGGGGAGAGAAGCGGGGCAGAUUUUCAUAAUGACUAAAGCGGAUGCUGAAAAGGAGAGUGCCAAGCUUCCUGCACAUUCAGCACUAAGAUGGGAAACUAAAUUCUGAAGAGCAAAAUUCAAGUGGUAAGUAAAAAGUCCAACAGGUCAUUUAGCAC
RNAcentral lists this long non-coding RNA (1127 nucleotides) under Anas platyrhynchos platyrhynchos (common mallard). RNAcentral describes it as "lncRNA (ENSAPLG00000019894.1)". Lineage: Eukaryota; Metazoa; Chordata; Aves; Anseriformes; Anatidae. The record is from RNAcentral.